AGCUUUGUGCAGUGGCAGUAUUGUAGCCAAUGAGGUUUAUCCGAAGCGUGAUUGAUUAUUGCUAAUUGAAAACUGUAAAUAAUCUCUACACCCAACGUUGGGCUUGAACACACAACCCUGUG
This is a non-coding RNA of Canis lupus familiaris (dog), 122 nucleotides long. NCBI's taxonomy places the organism in Eukaryota, Metazoa, Chordata, Mammalia, Carnivora, Canidae. The record is from Rfam.